Molecule: ribosomal RNA, 253 nt
Filed under: uncultured bacterium
Lineage: Bacteria
Description: partial 16S ribosomal RNA
Rfam family: Bacterial small subunit ribosomal RNA
Source: RNAcentral
CCUACGGGGGGCAGCAGUGGGGAAUAUUGGGCAAUGGGCGCAAGCCUGACCCAGCAACGCCGCGUGAAGGAAGAAGGCUUUCGGGUUGUAAACUUCUUUUACGAGGGAAGAGCAGAAGACGGUACCUGAGGAAUAAGCCACGGCUAACUACGUGCCAGCAGCCGCGGUAAUACGUAGGUGGCAAGCGUUAUCCGGAUUUACUGGGUGUAAAGGACGUGUAGGCGGGAAAGCAAGUCAGAUGUGAAAACCACGG